UUUAAGUAUAGUUGUGGGUUUUAGUGUCCAAUGUUUGACCAUCCAUCUUUUUUGAUUUUUUUUUAUAAUUAAUAUUUUUAUUGUUAUUAGAUGAUAAAAUAUGAAUAGUACUUUAUGCGUGACUUAUUUUUCUAAACUUUUUCAUAAAUUUUUUAAAUAAGAUGGAUGGUCAAAUAUUUGACACACUUAAA
Oryza sativa Indica Group (long-grained rice) is the source of this 191-nucleotide microRNA precursor. It matches the Rfam family "MIR812 microRNA precursor family". The record is from Rfam. NCBI's taxonomy places the organism in Eukaryota, Viridiplantae, Streptophyta, Magnoliopsida, Poales, Poaceae.